UUAGGACGAACGCUGGCGGCGUGCCUAAUACAUGCAAGUCGAACGGUCUUUCUAUGGAAGCUUGCUUCCACUGAGAAGAUAGUGGCGAACGGGUGAGUAACACGUGGGUAACCUGCCCAUAAGAGGGGGAUAACAUCCGGAAACGGGUGCUAAUACCGCAUAGUUUUCUUGAUCGCAUGAUUGAGAAAGGAAAGACGGCCUUUGUGCUGUCGCUUAUGGAUGGACCCGCGGCGUAUUAGUUAGUUGGUGAGGUAACGGCUCACCAAGACGAUGAUACGUAGCCGACCUGAGAGGGUGAUCGGCCACAUUGGGACUGAGACACGGCCCAAACUCCUACGGGAGGCAGCAGUAGGGAAUCUUCCGCAAUGGACGGAAGUCUGACGGAGCAACGCCGCGUGAGUGAAGAAGGUUUUCGGAAUCGUAAAACUCUGUUGUCAGAGAAGAACAAGUUGGAGAGUAACUGCUCCAGCCUUGACGGUAUCUGACCAGAAAGCCACGGCUAACUACGUGCCAGCAGCAGC
Molecule: ribosomal RNA, 521 nt
Filed under: uncultured bacterium
Lineage: Bacteria
Description: bacterial SSU rRNA
Rfam family: Bacterial small subunit ribosomal RNA
Source: RNAcentral